GCUCUGACUGCGGCAACCGUUGAAGGCUGCCCCGGGGGAGGCAGCUAGGCGCCACGGCGCUUGGCAAGUGGCGCAGUGAAUGUUUAUUGGAUUGAAUCAAGUACAGCUUCUUCCAGCCUUCCCUCCUCCCCUCUGUCUCCCUGCGCUCCCAGACUGAUUUGAAGGAGACCCCUGAAGGGUUUGGUUUGUCCACUUGAGGUCCCUUAAACAUCUUUUCAAGAUUAUUCAACGCUAAGAGAAAUGUCAGCAUCAUUUUCCUGAGAUAUGGCAAUCAUACCUGGUAGUGGGAACUUUGCUGUGGAACUCCCAAACCUGGCAAGAAUGCUGCAGAUUUUGGCAGAUGAUGGCUUCAUCCCCUCCCAGCACUGAUGAUAAUAUUAGAGACCUGUACUACAAGAAAUGAUAAUGGAACUUCUUCAAGUGAAAAAGGAAUGAUAUUAGCAGAAAAGUUGGAUCUACUGGAGCAAAUGAAGGACGUCAGAAAUGCAACUUUCAUUGUUAGAGAGAAGAGAGAGAGAGAAGCCUUGUUGGUUGACGUCACUUGGUUCAUGAAGCCUUCGCCUAGAAGUGAAGCUGCUGAACAAACCUUGAGAAGAAUCAUCUCCUGCUUCAAUCUGCUGCUGGAUAGGAACUAAUCAGAGAGAGAGAGGCGGAAGACGGAGAAGGAGGGAGUCAAGGGCUUUCCCGAUCACCAAUCUCACCUCCACUCCAACUCUCUUUAUACUUUUCUUGCAGAAAUUAUAAAAGAAAUAAGGAGGUGGUGGGGAUUCCAAAAACCUUAACCUUCAACCAUCUGGGGAAGGCAAAAAUCCCACCCACCGCAACUCUCAGUUCGAAAGUAAAGGUUACUCAACAGUGAUGUCACAAGAUUGACCACGCUGAUCACAAAACUGGAUCACAUUUCAGGCUUCUUUCUCUUCAUAGUAUCACCAUUUCCCACAUCAAGAUAUGAACUCCUGGCAUCACUUUGGAUUACUGUCUUUCUUCUGGCUCCAGAUAAUCAAAACUUAAAAGUGCCAGUGAUCUGUCUUCAAUAUCUUUUACAACCUUUGUUUUCCUUUCAUUCCCAUUACUAUCCUAUUCAGUUCAUGCUUAGAUAGUUGUAUUAGUUUACUUACUAGUUUCUCUGUAUCCAGUAUCAUGUCUCCUCUUACUCAUUGUGGAUAACAUUGCCACAUUAACAUAUCUGAAAUCAUGAUUUCUUUUUUACUAGUAUGUUUAUGUUAUUCUCCUUUUCUGGAAAAUUCUCACUGCCUUUUCAUGUAUAUGUAUAUCCUUCAAGACCCAACUCAAAUCUUAUUUUCUUCUCAAUACUGGCCUAAAGGGAGUACAGUGUGCAAAAUCUGGAGUCAGGUAGUAUCUGUAAUCAUUUGACAUCUGAACACAUGGUAUCCAAUUAUCAUAAAGUGCUAGAGGAGAAGAAGAAUUUGGAUGUCAUUUAUUCUCAUCCUUACUUUUGAAUAAGUGGUUUCCUGGAGCUAAAAGUAUUUGAAGGGUUCGGGGUAGAAAUGUAAGUAGACUAAGUCUUCUAACCCCUUAAUUCCAGAAUUCUUUCUUGUGUAACCCUUCCUCUCACUGUGAAGUGCCUUGUCUUUUUAGAUGUUUCAUGAGUAAAUUUAUUAUUUCACUAGCUUGAGGCCAAAAAUCUUGUUUUACUCUUUUGUACUUCCCAUAAUAUUUUACACAUCAAUAGGCCUUAAUUCACUCUUUAUUUGUAGAGAAUAAUUACUUUCAGAUAAAAGUAACAUUUUAAAUAAAAUUUUAUUUCCAUUUGUACAGAUAUUAAUGGCCAAGGAUUAUACUGCUUUUUGUUUAAAAGGGAUGGAAGAUAUGUUUUUAAUAGUUCUUGGUUGUUAACAUUGAUU
This is a long non-coding RNA of Sciurus carolinensis (gray squirrel), 1865 nucleotides long. RefSeq lists it as uncharacterized. NCBI's taxonomy places the organism in Eukaryota, Metazoa, Chordata, Mammalia, Rodentia, Sciuridae. The record is from RefSeq and is a predicted model, not a curated record. The transcript has 7 exons.